UCUCUCCACUCCCCCUUUCCAGUGACGCACACAAUCCCUAGAUCCCUCUCCACUCUCCUUUCCCUCACCCACUCCACUCCCUCCACUCUCGCCCGCACGGCGGCACAACCGGCGGCCUCCUCUCACAUCAGUGUUCCCUUUCAUCCCCUCCACUCCACUCAUGCGACGGCGGUCACCACGUAGAUCGAGCGACCAGGCGGCAGCCAUGCACACACAACCGGCGUGCCGUCUCCUUCCACCUCGACGCACGACCUCGUGCGCCAGGAGAGUAGUGGGGGUCCUCUGCCUCUUCAUCGCUUAGCACCCCUGUCGCCACGCCAUGGAUGGACCUCCCUCUGCUCCAACCGACGCCAUGUACCGAGCUCGCUCCCCUCCUCAAGAUCGAGAACUCCACAGAUAGUUGCUCGGCUGCGUCACUCAACAUGACCAUCUCCUCGGAUUACAAGUUUCAGAGAGUAGUUCACAAACUGUAAUAUCCCAAGGGGUUGUGUGGUAGUUGCUCGUCUUCAAGUGAUGAAGAUUCGCUGGCUGAGACUACAGCCACUAUGUGCUGUCAAGGAGCUGUCAAGUCGAAUUUCAGAGUCUUGUUUCAACAGACAACCUUCUUGAUCUUCUUAAACAGGAGUGUUAGAUUACUCGGAGCCGACAACGAAGCAUCAUGAUGGUCUCCAACUCGUAGCAAUCUUGAUCCAUCUGUAGAGUUGUAAUCAGGAUGAAUACAAGACCAAUGAUACAUAGGCGACAAACUAUGCAGGCAACAUUCAACAAUCUUCACACAGUCUUAUACCUGGAACCGUCGUGUAACUAUCGUCAACAUUUUCAGCUACGGGAGGAGCCACACAGAGCAAAGAAAGAUCCUCUUCUUGGGAGUUCAUCAAAACACUAUCAGCUGAGGAUAUAUAGUGCUGCUAUGGACCAAGGAAUCAAGCAUUAGAAUUAUCUAAGCAAACAGACUUCCGAUAUUUUGCUAGGGUUGCUGAAGCCGAUUCUUAUGCUAUCAGGGCAUGACCACAACCAGUGCAGAGUUGUCCAAUCCACUCCUUUUGGGCCAGUAAUGGAGCAGACCCUUGGGACAAUAAGCUGGCAGCAAGGAAACCUGUAUCCAUCUUUUAUGCUGAUCAGGAGAACAAACUGCAAAAAAUGUGUUAUCUGGGCAAAAAGUGAUGACAUAGGAAGAGAUCUGAUCAAGUUGUCUAAAGAUGUUAUGACAUAGGAAGAGAUCUGAUCAAGUCAAUAACCCACUCCCACUCUGUCAUCCACUCUUUCAUUAUUUUCAGUUCAUGCGAUGGCUGUAUGAAAUGUGAUGGCUGUAAAAUUCAAAUAAUACAUGUAUUACGUGAGUGUCUAUGGGGCCGGAUCCUGGACGCCUUCGGCGGCGGCUGGUCAAAGGAAUAA
This is a long non-coding RNA of Triticum aestivum (bread wheat), 1395 nucleotides long. RefSeq lists it as uncharacterized. The transcript is spliced from 10 exons. NCBI's taxonomy places the organism in Eukaryota, Viridiplantae, Streptophyta, Magnoliopsida, Poales, Poaceae. The record is from RefSeq and is a predicted model, not a curated record.